This 297-nucleotide ribosomal RNA is filed under the name uncultured bacterium. RNAcentral's name for it is "partial 16S ribosomal RNA". It matches the Rfam family "Bacterial small subunit ribosomal RNA", at positions 28 to 334 of the family's 1533-position model. The record is from RNAcentral.
GAUGAACGCUAGCUACAGGCUUAACACAUGCAAGUCGAGCGAUUCUCUUCGGAGAAGAGCGGCGGACGGGUGAGUAACGCGUGGGUAACCUGCCCUGUACACACGGAUAACAUACCGAAAGGUAUGCUAAUACGAGAUAACAUACUUUUAUCGCAUGGUAGAAGUAUCAAAGCUCCGGCGGUACAGGAUGGACCCGCGUCUGAUUAGCUAGUUGGUAAGGUAACGGCUUACCAAGGCGACGAUCAGUAGCCGACCUGAGAGGGUGAUCGGCCACAUUGGAACUGAGACACGGUCCAA